Molecule: ribosomal RNA, 274 nt
Filed under: uncultured bacterium
Lineage: Bacteria
Description: partial 16S ribosomal RNA
Rfam family: Bacterial small subunit ribosomal RNA
Source: RNAcentral
AUACGGAGGGUGCAAGCGUUACUCGGAAUCACUGGGCGUAAAGGAUGCGUAGGCGGAUAAUCAAGUCAAAAGUGAAAUCCUACAGCUUAACUGUAGAACUGCUUUCGAAACUGGUUAUCUAGAAUAUGGAAGAGGCAGAUGGAAUUAGUGGUGUAGGGGUAAAAUCCGUAGAGAUCACUAGGAAUACCGAUUGCGAAGGCGAUCUGCUGGGACAUUGUUGACGCUGAGGCAUGAAAGCGUGGGGAGCAAACAGGAUUAGAUACCCUAGUAGUCC